RNAcentral lists this ribosomal RNA (253 nucleotides) under uncultured bacterium. RNAcentral's name for it is "partial 16S ribosomal RNA". It matches the Rfam family "Bacterial small subunit ribosomal RNA", at positions 524 to 776 of the family's 1533-position model. The record is from RNAcentral.
UACGUAGGGUGCGAGCGUUGUCCGGAAUUAUUGGGCGUAAAGGGCUCGUAGGCGGUCUGUCGCGUCGGUAGUGAAAACUCAGGGCUUAACCCUGAGCCUGCUUCCGAUACGGGCAGACUAGAGGUAUGCAGGGGAGAACGGAAUUCCUGGUGUAGCGGUGAAAUGCGCAGAUAUCAGGAGGAACACCGGUGGCGAAGGCGGUUCUCUGGGCAUUACCUGACGCUGAGGAGCGAAAGUGUGGGAAGCGAACAGG